GAACGGGGACACAGCCACGGUGGCGACCCACAGCCCUGGUAAUCGCUCGCUCCAUGCCCGCAGGGAUGUUUGUGGGGGUGGCGUCAGCCCAGGGAGCGAACCCCUGCAGGACUCCCGAGGAGACCUUUGAGUCGGGCGGGCUCGACGUGCAGGGCACGGCGGGCUCUCUGGAUGAGGAGGAGGAAGAGGAGGAGCGAUUCCACACUGUGCUGGAGCAGCUGGGGGUGGCCCCGGUCCUGGGCGAUUCCCGCCCGCCCUCCAGGCAGCGGGCUGUGAGGACGCUCUGGGCCAGGCUGCAGCGCGAGCGCCCCGAGCUGCUGAGCUCUUUCGAGGAUGUUCUGAUACGCGCGUCGGCCUGCCUGGAGGAGGCGGCCCGGGAGCGCGACGGCCUGGAGCAGGCGCUGCGGAGGCGCGAGAGCGAGCACGAGAGGGAGGUGCGCGCUCUGUACGAGGAGACGGAGCAGCUUCGGGAGCAGAGCCGGCGCCCGCCGAGUCAGAACUUCGCCCGCGGGGAGCGGAGAAGCCGUCUGGAGCUGGAGCUGCAGAGCCGCGAGCAGGACCUGGAACGCGCGUGCCUGCGGCAGCGGGAGGUGAGCACCCGGCCCCUGCCCUGUCCCCACGGUCACCCGUGCACUCUCCCCCUGUGCCUUAGCGUCCCCGGGUUGUCGGGAGCCUGGGGCACGCGCAGCACCCCGGGGAAGAGGGGGCGUUCCUCGCCGGUCUCCAUCCUUCCACCCUCCAGUUAGAGCAGCAGCUGCACGCCCAGGCUGCGGAGCACCUGGAGGCACAGGCCCAGAACUCCCAGCUGUGGCGGGCGCACGAGGCGCUGCGAACGCAGCUGGAGGGGGCGCAGGAGCAGAUCCGCAGGCUGGAGAGCGAAGCACGAGGCCGCCAGGAGCAAACCCAACGGUGCCGUGGGACGGGGCUGGGCGGGCCCCGGUGCGUGUCCCGGGGGCGGGGCCGACGGGCGCUCAGGUCUGGGCCACUUUCAUCCCCAUCUCAAGUCCCGGGCCCGCCCCGUGGGAGGGAGGAUCUUCUAGGGGGUCCUGGGGCUCCCCAAGGAGCCUUCCUGCAGCCGGGUCACCACCUCCCAUCCACAGAGACGUGGUCGCCGUCUCCAGGAACAUGCAGAAAGAGAAAGUCAGCCUGCUACGGCAACUGGAGCUGCUCAGGGAGCUGAAUACACGGCUGCGGGAUGACAGGGACACCUGCGAGGCCAGGCGGGCGGGCAGCAGCUGCAGGAAGGCUCUGACAACAGCCCGCCUGCCUGGGCCCACCUGCUGCUGCUGCUGUUGCUGGGCUCGGCCCCCCAGACGCGGCUCUGGCCACCUUCCCAGUGCCCGGUGACCAGCCCCGAGUGACUCACGGAGCAUGAGCUAGAAGCUGCCCUUGCAGGAGGCUUGUCAUGGGUCGGGGGUGCCCACUCAGGAUGCAGGCUCUCCCCAGGGGGCCCCAGGCUCGCCUGACUGAAGACAUGAAGGACCUAGCCUAGGAGUGGUCAGGGUCCCGGGAGUGGCCAGGGUCCCGUGUGUGCCCUCUGCCAGUCUUCGCUCUGUCCCCGUUCAAUCAACCCCAUCUCAGUUCAGCAGAAAACCCCCUCGUCAAAUAAAACCCACUGACUGC
Molecule: small RNA, 1623 nt
Filed under: Pan troglodytes (chimpanzee)
Lineage: Eukaryota; Metazoa; Chordata; Mammalia; Primates; Hominidae
Description: retained intron
Source: RNAcentral